UCCAGGACAGCCAUGGCUACACAGAGAAACCCUGCCUCAAAAUAAAAAAAUAAAUAAAUCCUGAAAAGGGGGAAAGGAAAAAAAGGAAACAUUUGAGCAGGUGUGAUGGUACAUAUCUUUAUUCCCAACACUAAGGAGAUCGAGGCAGUUAAGUUGCAAGUUGGAGACCAGGCUAGCUACACAGCAAGACCUAUUUCUACCACAGCAACAACAUAAGUUUCCGAAGAGUCCAGUGGGUAUAGUGGUAUGCACCAUGGUCCCACUCAGGAGGCCAAGGUAGGAGGCCACGGGAGUACAAGAUAUUGAGGAAGCUUGGGUAAUAAUAUAGCAAGACCUUGUUGGGGCAGUGGGAGGGGGCUUGGGAAGAAUUGUGUCCCUUGACCUGGUUUUAUUUUGCCUCUCCUCAGCACAUGGGGUGGGAGGCUCUUGAGGCUUUCCAUUUUCAGUCAGUAUAGCAUGGGUCUCCAUCAGAGCUUUUGCCUGUAUGGGGUUUGGGAUUGUUGCCCAAGAGAGGUGGAGAAGCAAAAUGGCAGCCACAUUAGCUUUCAAACCUGGCUGCACCUUUGCUUCCUGCUAGUUUAGGCGUUUGGGCCCCAUCUACAGUAUCCUGACCCUCUGUGUUCCUAGGUGUAAGUUGGCAAUGAUAAAUCCGUCGUCAACAGACCCUGAAAGCACCUGCAGCGCUGGAGGACUCAGUGACGGUCAACUCAGAAUGAGUACUUCAUUUUAUGCCAUACAGUUCCUGCCAGCUCUCUUCCUCUAGUUGGAUUACAGACUCUGGAGGUGGAGAUGUGUGCUCUUAGCUACUGCUCUCGCCACCGUGUCUGCGCGCCUCUUGCCGUGCUCCCCCUGUGAUGGUGAUGGACUCUGGAGCAAUAAGCCCAAAAUAAACUCAUCUAGAA
Myodes glareolus (Bank vole) is the source of this 902-nucleotide non-coding RNA. NCBI's taxonomy places the organism in Eukaryota, Metazoa, Chordata, Mammalia, Rodentia, Cricetidae. The record is from RefSeq and is a predicted model, not a curated record.